GACACACACACUCCAACGACCACUGCCUUUCUUUGUUUGACAGUUGUCUGUUUUCUUGAUUUUCAGGAAGGCUAAUGUGUAGGCAGAGGAUGUGUUCAUAUAUGUACUAUGAUCCCUGUACUCAACCCACAAGGGAUUUUGAGCCCGCCUCUGACCAAAAUAUCUGCUUUUUUUUUUUUUUUUCCCCUGGGACACAGAGUCUUGCUCUGCCACCCAGGCUGGAGUACAGUGGCAUGAUCUCGGCUCACAGCAACCUCUGCUUCCCAGGUUCAAGUAAUUCUCCUGCCUCAGCUUCCUGAGUAGCUGGGAUUACAGGCAUAUGCCACCAUGCCCAGUUGAUUUUUGUAUUUUUAGUAGAGACAGGGUUUCACCA
This 373-nucleotide long non-coding RNA is filed under the name Homo sapiens (human). Its description in RNAcentral is "non-protein coding lnc-C1orf74-3:1". The record is from RNAcentral. Lineage: Eukaryota; Metazoa; Chordata; Mammalia; Primates; Hominidae.